UACGGAGGGUGCAAGCGUUGCUCGGAAUUACUGGGCGUAAAGGGUUCGUAGGCGGUGCGGCAAGUCGGUAGUGAAAUCUCCAGGCUUAACUUGGAGGCUGCUGCCGAAACUGCUGUGCUAGAGUGCAGGAGAGGCGAGUGGAAUUACAGGUGUAGCGGUGAAAUGCGUAGAUAUCUGUAGGAACACCCGUGGCGAAGGCGGCUCGCUGGACUGCAACUGACGCUGAGGAACGAAAGCUAGGGGAGCAAACAGG
Molecule: ribosomal RNA, 253 nt
Filed under: uncultured bacterium
Lineage: Bacteria
Description: partial 16S ribosomal RNA
Rfam family: Bacterial small subunit ribosomal RNA
Source: RNAcentral